This 78-nucleotide small RNA is filed under the name Flavobacterium aquicola. RNAcentral's name for it is "Flavo-1 RNA". It matches the Rfam family "Flavo-1 RNA". The record is from RNAcentral. Lineage: Bacteria; Pseudomonadati; Bacteroidota; Flavobacteriia; Flavobacteriales; Flavobacteriaceae.
CUUUAGCCCCGAUUGUAGUGAAAAUCCUUAUGUGCCGGGGUUCGGCGCACAAGAUUGCAGCGGAAAGUGGGAACAAUG